UACGUAGGGUGCAAGCGUUGUCCGGAAUUAUUGGGCGUAAAGAGCUCGUAGGCGGUCUGUCGCGUCGGCUGUGAAAUCCCGGAGCUCAACUCCGGGUCUGCAGUCGAUACUGGCAAACUGGAGUACUGCAGGGGAGACUGGAAUUCCUGGUGUAGCGGUGAAAUGCGCAGAUAUCAGGAGGAACACCGGUGGCGAAGGCGGGUCUCUGGGCAGUAACUGACGCUGAGGAGCGAAAGCGUGGGGAGCGAACAGG
RNAcentral lists this ribosomal RNA (253 nucleotides) under uncultured bacterium. Its description in RNAcentral is "partial 16S ribosomal RNA". It matches the Rfam family "Bacterial small subunit ribosomal RNA", at positions 524 to 776 of the family's 1533-position model. The record is from RNAcentral.